This 719-nucleotide ribosomal RNA is filed under the name uncultured bacterium. RNAcentral describes it as "bacterial SSU rRNA". It matches the Rfam family "Bacterial small subunit ribosomal RNA", at positions 97 to 796 of the family's 1533-position model. The record is from RNAcentral.
GGCGCACGGGUGAGUAACACGUAGGUAAUCUACCUUCGGAUGGGGAAUAACAACCGGAAACGGUUGCUAAUACCGCAUAAUGCAGCGGCACCUAAUGGUGACAGUUGUUAAAGCGGGGGAUCGCAAGACCUCGCGUCUGAAGAGGAGCCUGCGGCGGAUUAGCUAGUUGGUAAGGUAACGGCUUACCAAGGCGAUGAUCCGUAGCCGGCCUGAGAGGGCGGUCGGCCACACUGACACUGACAUACGGGUCAGACUCCUACGGGAGGCAGCAGUCGGGAAUUUUGGGCAAUGGGCGAAAGCCUGACCCAGCAACGCCGCGUGAAGGAUGAAAUCCUUCGGGAUGUAAACUUCGCAAGAACGGGAAGAAUAAGUAAGGGUUAAUAUCUCUUACGAUGACGGUACUGUUUGUAAGCUCCGGCUAACUCCGUGCCAGCAGCCGCGGUAAUACGGGGGGAGCAAGCGUUGUUCGGAUUUACUGGGCGUAAAGGGCGCGUAGGCGGCCACCGCAAGUCGACUGUGAAAUCUCCGGGCUUAACCCGGAAAGGUCAGCCGAUACUGCGGGGCUAGAGUGCAGAAGGGGCAACUGGAAUUCUCGGUGUAGCGGUGAAAUGCGUAGAUAUCGAGAGGAACACCUGCGGCGAAGGCGGGUUGCUGGGCUGACACUGACGCUGAGGCGCGAAAGCUAGGGGAGCGAACGGGAUUAGAUACCCCGGUAGUCC